This 129-nucleotide small RNA is filed under the name Pantoea sp. RIT413. Its description in RNAcentral is "Pantoea sp. RIT 413 RtT sRNA". It matches the Rfam family "RtT RNA". From Rfam's summary of the family: This family represents a bacterial cis-regulatory element known as RtT RNA. The exact function of RtT is unknown although it is thought that it may be involved in changing the cellular response in relation to amino acid starvation. Lineage: Bacteria; Pseudomonadati; Pseudomonadota; Gammaproteobacteria; Enterobacterales; Erwiniaceae. The record is from RNAcentral.
AUAUUGCACAGUGAGAGGGGUAUGAGAACCUCCGACCGGGUUCGACGGUGAACUCUGUUCACCGGACAGCGGAGCCUGCGACGCUGCCCGCAGGGUGAGCGAAGCAAAUCAAUCCCCCUCUCACCGCCA